This 763-nucleotide ribosomal RNA is filed under the name uncultured bacterium. RNAcentral describes it as "bacterial SSU rRNA". It matches the Rfam family "Bacterial small subunit ribosomal RNA", at positions 771 to 1532 of the family's 1533-position model. The record is from RNAcentral.
AACAGGAUUAGAUACCCUGGUAGUCCACGCCGUAAACGAUGAGUGCUAAGUGUUAGAGGGUUUCCGCCCUUUAGUGCUGCAGCUAACGCAUUAAGCACUCCGCCUGGGGAGUACGGUCGCAAGACUGAAACUCAAAGGAAUUGACGGGGGCCCGCACAAGCGGUGGAGCAUGUGGUUUAAUUCGAAACAACGCGAAGAACCUUACCAGGUCUUGACAUCCUCUGACAACUCUAGAGAUAGAGCAUUCCCCUUCGGGGGACAGAGUGACAGGUGGUGCAUGGUUGUCGUCAGCUCGUGUCGUGAGAUGUUGGGUUAAGUCCCGCAACGAGCGCAACCCUUGAUCUUAGUUGCCAGCAUUUAGUUGGGCACUCUAAGGUGACUGCCGGUGACAAACCGGAGGAAGGUGGGGAUGACGUCAAAUCAUCAUGCCCCUUAUGACCUGGGCUACACACGUGCUACAAUGGAUGGUACAAAGGGCUGCAAGACCGCGAGGUCAAGCCAAUCCCAUAAAACCAUUCUCAGUUCGGAUUGUAGGCUGCAACUCGCCUACAUGAAGCUGGAAUCGCUAGUAAUCGCGGAUCAGCAUGCCGCGGUGAAUACGUUCCCGGGCCUUGUACACACCGCCCGUCACACCACGAGAGUUUGUAACACCCGAAGUCGGUGGAGUAACCGUAAGGAGCUAGCCGCCUAAGGUGGGACAGAUGAUUGGGGUGAAGUCGUAACAAGGUAGCCGUAUCGGAAGGUGCGGCUGGAUCACCUCCUU